RNAcentral lists this ribosomal RNA (427 nucleotides) under uncultured archaeon. RNAcentral describes it as "bacterial SSU rRNA". It matches the Rfam family "Archaeal small subunit ribosomal RNA", at positions 147 to 575 of the family's 1478-position model. The record is from RNAcentral.
UAAUACCGGAUAGAUCAAAGAUACUGGAAUGUUCCUUGAUCCAAAGCUCCGGCGUCCAAGGAUGGAUCUGCGGCCUAUCAGGUAGUAGUGGGUGUAACGUACCUACUAGCCUACGACGGGUACGGGUUGUGAGAGCAAGAGCCCGGAGAUGGAUUCUGAGACAUGAAUCCAGGCCCUACGGGGCGCAGCAGGCGCGAAAUCUUUACAAUGCAGGAAACUGCGAUAAGGGGACCCCGAGUGCCAGCAUCAAAUGCUGGCUGUCCAGCUGUGUAAAUAGCAGUUGUUAGCAAGGGCCGGGCAAGACCGGUGCCAGCCGCCGCGGUAACACCGGCGGCCCGAGUGGUAACCGAUUUUAUUGGGUUUAAAGGGUCCGUAGCCGGCCUGUUAAGUCUCUUGGGAAAUCUGGCGGCUCAAUCGUCAGGCGUCC